UACAGAGGGGGCAAGCGUUGCUCGGAAUUACUGGGCGUAAAGGGCGCGUAGGCGGGAUGGCAAGUCGGUCGUGAAAUCCUUCGGCUCAACCGAGGAACUGCGUCUGAUACUGGAAGGCUUGAAUCCGGGAGAGGUAAGUGGAAUUCCGAGUGUAGAGGUGAAAUUCGUAGAUAUUCGGAAGAACACCAGUGGCGAAGGCGACUUACUGGACACAUAUUGACGCUGAGGUGCGAAAGCGUGGGGAGCAAACAGG
This 253-nucleotide ribosomal RNA is filed under the name uncultured bacterium. RNAcentral describes it as "partial 16S ribosomal RNA". It matches the Rfam family "Bacterial small subunit ribosomal RNA", at positions 524 to 776 of the family's 1533-position model. The record is from RNAcentral.